UACAGAGGGGGCAAGCGUUGUUCGGAAUUACUGGGCGUAAAGGGCGCGUAGGCGGCCCGCUAAGUCGAACGUGAAAUCCCCGAGCUCAACUCGGGAACUGCGUCCGAUACUGGCGGGCUUGAAUCCGGGAGAGGGAUGCGGAAUUCCAGGUGUAGCGGUGAAAUGCGUAGAUAUCGAGAGGAACACCUGCGGCGAAGGCGGGUUGCUGGGCUGACACUGACGCUGAUGUGCGAAAGCUAGGGGAGCGAACGGG
This 253-nucleotide ribosomal RNA is filed under the name uncultured bacterium. Its description in RNAcentral is "partial 16S ribosomal RNA". It matches the Rfam family "Bacterial small subunit ribosomal RNA", at positions 524 to 776 of the family's 1533-position model. The record is from RNAcentral.